GUGUCAGCAGCCGCGGUAAUACGUAGGUGGCAAGCGUUGUCCGGAUUUAUUGGGUUUAAAGGGUGCGUAGGCGGUCUUUUAAGUCAGUGCUGAAAUACUCCAGCUUAACUGGAGGGGUGGCAUUGAUACUGGAAGACUUGAGUAUAGUUGAGGUAGGCGGAAUUGACGGUGUAGCGGUGAAAUGCUUAGAUAUCGUCAAGAACACCGAUAGUGAAGACAGCUUACUAAACUAUAACUGACGCUGAGGCACGAAAGUGUGGGGAUCAAACAGGAUUAGAAACCCUGGUAGUCC
This 292-nucleotide ribosomal RNA is filed under the name uncultured bacterium. RNAcentral's name for it is "partial 16S ribosomal RNA". It matches the Rfam family "Bacterial small subunit ribosomal RNA", at positions 505 to 796 of the family's 1533-position model. The record is from RNAcentral.